RNAcentral lists this ribosomal RNA (460 nucleotides) under uncultured bacterium. RNAcentral's name for it is "partial 16S ribosomal RNA". It matches the Rfam family "Bacterial small subunit ribosomal RNA", at positions 338 to 795 of the family's 1533-position model. The record is from RNAcentral.
CCUACGGGAGGCAGCAGUGAGGAAUAUUUGUCAAUGGACGAGAGUCUGAACCAGCCAAGUAGCGUGAAGGAUGACUGCCCUAUGGGUUGUAAACUUCUUUUAUAUGGGAAUAAAACAGGGUAUGCAUACCCUCUUGUAUGUACCAUAUGAAUAAGGAUCGGCUAACUCCGUGCCAGCAGCCGCGGUAAUACGGAGGAUCCGAGCGUUAUCCGGAUUUAUUGGGUUUAAAGGGAGCGUAGGUGGAUUGUUAAGUCAGUUGUGAAAGUUUGCGGCUCAACCGUAAAAUUGCAGUUGAAACUGGCAGUCUUGAGUACAGUAGAGGUGGGCGGAAUGCGUGGUGUAGCGGUGAAAUGCGUAGAUAUCACGAAGAACGCCGAUUGCGAAGGCAGCUCACUGGACUGCAACUGACACUGAUGCUCGAAAGUGUGGGUAGCAAACAGGAUUAGAUACCCUAGUAGUC